GAUGAACGCUGGCGGCGUGCCUAAUACAUGCAAGUCGAGCGAACGCACGAGAAGCUUUCUCCUCUGAUUUUAUCGGCGGACGGGUCCGUACCUCGUGGUUAACCUACCUCUCCGACUGGGAUAACUUCGGGAAACCGUAUCUACUACCCAAUGAUUUUUUGCACUUCAUUGUUCAAAAGUUAAAUACGCUCUUUCUUUCACUUAUAGCUUGCUCCGCGCUGCAUUAGCUAGUUGGUAAGGUAACUGCUUACCAACGCAACGAGGCAUAGCCGACCUGAGAGGGAGAAUGGACAGACUGGAAGUGAGAAAGAGUAGAGACACCUACAGGAGGAAGCAGUAGGGAAUCUUCCGCGAAGGGCGAAAGGCUGACGGAGCAACGCCGCGUGAGUGAUGAAGGACUUCGGAUCGUAAAACGAUGUUAUUAGGGAAGAACAUAUGUGUAAGUAACUGUGAACAUAUUGACGGUACCGAAACAGAAAGCCACGGCUAACUACGUG
Molecule: ribosomal RNA, 497 nt
Filed under: uncultured bacterium
Lineage: Bacteria
Description: partial 16S ribosomal RNA
Rfam family: Bacterial small subunit ribosomal RNA
Source: RNAcentral